Molecule: ribosomal RNA, 318 nt
Filed under: Coscinodiscus granii
Lineage: Eukaryota; Bacillariophyta; Coscinodiscophyceae; Coscinodiscales; Coscinodiscaceae
Source: RNAcentral
AUGGAAAAUGGAAUCAACUUAAAUAGAUUAUUCGCUUCUAUAUAUUGUCAAAAAAAAGAAACAUUUAGUUUCUUUUUCUUCUAUUUUAGAGGUUAUACCUACCAUGGUUCUAAUAGUUCUUGCGUUUUCCUCAUUAAAAAUUCACCAUCAUCAUCUACCUUACUCAUAAAAUCAUCUAUAUCCAUUAAAUUUGGUUCAGUUUUAGUGCCCUUGGUAUUAUCUUUGGUUGAAACUUUGUUCCAAGGUUUGUCAAAAUUUUUUAUGAAUGUUGCUAUUCUUGCAUCGUUAUAUCUAAGUAUAUAUUUUUUAUUUUUCUGA